Panicum virgatum (switchgrass) is the source of this 1401-nucleotide long non-coding RNA. RefSeq lists it as uncharacterized. The transcript is spliced from 4 exons. The record is from RefSeq and is a predicted model, not a curated record. Lineage: Eukaryota; Viridiplantae; Streptophyta; Magnoliopsida; Poales; Poaceae.
CCCUUCGGCCCUUCACUUCUCUUUCCCUGCCCUCUCCCUCCGCCGCCACCACCAGCCCCCGUCCUUCCCCGAUUUCGGCCUCCCUUCUACGACGUCGGACCCCUCCUCGCCUGUCGUGUCGUCGACUCGUCGCCCCAUUCCUCCGUGAGCGCCGCCCCCUCCUCGGGUCCUAUCUCCCUCCCUCUGUCUGCUCGCCAACGCUCCGUGUGGGCGCUCUGGUGGUGGCGGCGGCGACAUCGUGGUCGCGGCGUGCCGGGUCCCCGUCGUGCUCGGGCUACGCCGCCUCCGCCCUGAGCGCUGUCCGGCCGGUUGCCCCCUCCUCCCUGAACGCGCCUCUAGCUCCCGCUUGCCCCCCCCCCCCCCCCCACCCACCGUCCUUUACCCUCCGCUGCUGCUACCUCCACCCCAACCUUCCCCAGAUCUGCGCCGCCCCAGUUCCCCACCGCCCCUCCUCCUCGCGCCCGCUGCCUUCCGUUGCCGGGACCGCAGCUUCUCUCCUAAGCCAAGUGCCGCGCGUCCUGCCCCCCAUCGACCGCGGCAUGGCCUCCGCGGCCGCCGCCUGGGCGCUGUCGCAUCCUCAUCCUCCGUCCCUCUGCCUUCCACGGUAAAGAGGCAGCUGGGCGGCGGCCACUCGGGCGGUGCAGUGAGCGGGCAUCUCGGAUAGCUUCACGGCGAGUGGGAUGGCCGGAAUGGCGGCACGGCGAGCGGGGUGGCACCCGCAGCAGCACAACGAGCGGGUGUGGCGCCCGUGAUGCCUUAUGUUCUAGCUAGGCUGGCUUCUCGAGUGCCCAGGUGGCAACCUGAUCUGAGUUAAGAUGUGAUGGCAGCCAUGCCUCUGGCUGUCACCUGCAUUGCAUGUUAGCUGUUCGAUGAAAUACCCCAAAGUAUCCAACAACACACCGCAGAACUUCUAAUCAGAAAAUGUCAGUAUGAUGCACUCUUUAAAAAGAUUGACCUCCCUCAAGCAGAAGAGGACGUCCUCCCUUGAGCAGCAAAGACCACCUCCAUAUCUCUUCCACCAGCAGCGAGAAACAAGCCACCAGCCACAAGGGAACUGAGCAAGGUCUGGAACUGGAAGAUGCUCCAUUGUUAGAGAACAAAGGAUAGGUCCUAUUUGUGAUUUAUGGUCUUAUACUGCAUAGGUAAUUAAGGUAGUAAAUAUGUGGCUGAGUGCAGCAUCACCAGUGUACAACAUCUCAUGUAAGUUACAUUUGCUAGUGCAAAUGAUAUAUGGCUGUAAGGAGUGAUUUGUUUCCACGACAAAAUAGCUGAAUGGCUGUAUAAUAUUUGGAUAACUGACUGAUUCUGUUGGGUCUUGUUGGGCCUUGAAAGUUGUCAAGUACAAAUGGUCUUGUUGGGUCAUAUUUUAUGACGAAUCAAAUUGUCAUAUUUGGAUUGCCA